UUUACGGAGAGUUUGAUCCUGGCUCAGGACGAACGCUGGCGGCGUGCUUAACACAUGCAAGUCGAACGAUGAUGCCCAGCUUGCUGGGUGGAUUAGUGGCGAACGGGUGAGUAACACGUGAGUAACCUGCCCCUGACUCUGGGAUAAGCGUUGGAAACGACGUCUAAUACUGGAUAUGAUCACUGGCCGCAUGGUCUGGUGGUGGAAAGAUUUUUUGGUUGGGGAUGGACUCGCGGCCUAUCAGCUUGUUGGUGAGGUAAUGGCUCACCAAGGCGACGACGGGUAGCCGGCCUGAGAGGGUGACCGGCCACACUGGGACUGAGACACGGCCCAGACUCCUACGGGAGGCAGCAGUGGGGAAUAUUGCACAAUGGGCGAAAGCCUGAUGCAGCAACGCCGCGUGAGGGAUGACGGCCUUCGGGUUGUAAACCUCUUUUAGUAGGGAAGAAGCGAAAGUGACGGUACCUGCAGAAAAAGCACCGGCUAACUACGUGCCAGCAGCCGCGGUAAUACGUAGGGUGCAAGCGUUGUCCGGAAUUAUUGGGCGUAAAGAGCUCGUAGGCGGUUUGUCGCGUCUGCUGUGAAAUCCCGAGGCUCAACCUCGGGCUUGCAGUGGUACGGGCAGACUAGAGUGCGGUAGGGGAGAUUGGAAUUCCUGGUGUAGCGGUGGAAUGCGCAGAUAUCAGGAGGAACACCGAUGGCGAAGGCAGAUCUCUGGGCCGUAACUGACGCUGAGGAGCGAAAGCAUGGGGAGCGAACAGGAUUAGAUACCCUGGUAGUCCAUGCCGUAAACGUUGGGCGCUAGAUGUAGGGACCUUUCCACGGUUUCUGUGUCGUAGCUAACGCAUUAAGCGCCCCGCCUGGGGAGUACGGCCGCAAGGCUAAAACUCAAAGGAAUUGACGGGGGCCCGCACAAGCGGCGGAGCAUGCGGAUUAAUUCGAUGCAACGCGAAGAACCUUACCAAGGCUUGACAUACACCGGAAACGGCCAGAGAUGGUCGCCCCCUUGUGGUCGGUGUACAGGUGGUGCAUGGUUGUCGUCAGCUCGUGUCGUGAGAUGUUGGGUUAAGUCCCGCAACGAGCGCAACCCUCGUUCUAUGUUGCCAGCGGGUUAUGCCGGGGACUCAUAGGAGACUGCCGGGGUCAACUCGGAGGAAGGUGGGGAUGACGUCAAAUCAUCAUGCCCCUUAUGUCUUGGGCUUCACGCAUGCUACAAUGGCCGGUACAAAGGGCUGCGAUACCGUAAGGUGGAGCGAAUCCCAAAAAGCCGGUCUCAGUUCGGAUUGAGGUCUGCAACUCGACCUCAUGAAGUCGGAGUCGCUAGUAAUCGCAGAUCAGCAACGCUGCGGUGAAUACGUUCCCGGGCCUUGUACACACCGCCCGUCAAGUCAUGAAAGUCGGUAACACCCGAAGCCGGUGGCCUAACCCUUGUGGAAGGAGCCGUCGAAGGUGGGAUCGGUGAUUAGGACUAAGUCGUAACAAGGUAGCCGUACCGGAAGGUGCGGCUGGAUCACCUCCUUUCUAAGGA
RNAcentral lists this ribosomal RNA (1528 nucleotides) under Curtobacterium flaccumfaciens pv. flaccumfaciens. Its description in RNAcentral is "bacterial SSU rRNA". It matches the Rfam family "Bacterial small subunit ribosomal RNA". Lineage: Bacteria; Bacillati; Actinomycetota; Actinomycetes; Micrococcales; Microbacteriaceae. The record is from RNAcentral.